RNAcentral lists this ribosomal RNA (1343 nucleotides) under uncultured bacterium. RNAcentral describes it as "16S ribosomal RNA". It matches the Rfam family "Bacterial small subunit ribosomal RNA", at positions 28 to 1378 of the family's 1533-position model. The record is from RNAcentral.
GACGAACGCUGGCGGCGUGCUUAACACAUGCAAGUCGAACGGAAAGGCCCUGCUUUUGUGGGGUGCUCGAGUGGCGAACGGGUGAGUAACACGUGAGUAACCUGCCCUUGACUUUGGGAUAACUUCAGGAAACUGGGGCUAAUACCGGAUAGGAGCUCCUGCUGCAUGGUGGGGGUUGGAAAGUUUCGGCGGUUGGGGAUGGACUCGCGGCUUAUCAGCUUGUUGGUGGGGUAGUGGCUUACCAAGGCUUUGACGGGUAGCCGGCCUGAGAGGGUGACCGGCCACAUUGGGACUGAGAUACGGCCCAGACUCCUACGGGAGGCAGCAGUGGGGAAUAUUGCACAAUGGGCGGAAGCCUGAUGCAGCAACGCCGCGUGCGGGAUGACGGCCUUCGGGUUGUAAACCGCUUUCGCCUGUGACGAAGCGUGAGUGACGGUAAUGGGUAAAGAAGCACCGGCUAACUACGUGCCAGCAGCCGCGGUGAUACGUACGGUGCGAGCGUUGUCCGGAUUUAUUGGGCGUAAAGGGCUCGUAGGUGGUUGAUCGCGUCGGAAGUGUAAUCUUGGGGCUUAACCCUGAGCGUGCUUUCGAUACGGGUUGACUUGAGGAAGGUAGGGGAGAAUGGAAUUCCUGGUGGAGCGGUGGAAUGCGCAGAUAUCAGGAGGAACACCAGUGGCGAAGGCGGUUCUCUGGGCCUUUCCUGACGCUGAGGAGCGAAAGCGUGGGGAGCGAACAGGCUUAGAUACCCUGGUAGUCCACGCUGUAAACGGUGGGUACUAGGUGUGGGGUCCAUUCCACGGGUUCCGUGCCGUAGCUAACGCUUUAAGUACCCCGCCUGGGGAGUACGGCCGCAAGGCUAAAACUCAAAGGAAUUGACAGGGCCCCGCACAAGCGGCGGAGCAUGCGGAUUAAUUCGAUGCAACGCGUAGAACCUUACCUGGGUUUGACAUGGAUCGGGAGUGCUCAGAGAUGGGUGUGCCUCUUUUGGGGUCGGUUCACAGGUGGUGCAUGGCUGUCGUCAGCUCGUGUCGUGAGAUGUUGGGUUAAGUCCCGCAACGAGCGCAACCCUUGUUCACUGUUGCCAGCACGUUAUGGUGGGGACUCAGUGGAGACCGCCGGGGUCAACUCGGAGGAAGGUGGGGAUGACGUCAAGUCAUCAUGCCCCUUAUGUCCAGGGCUUCACGCAUGCUACAAUGGCUGGUACAGAGAGUGGCGAGCCUGUGAGGGUGAGCGAAUCUCGGAAAGCCGGUCUCAGUUCGGAUUGGGGUCUGCAACUCGACCUCAUGAAGUCGGAGUCGCUAGUAAUCGCAGAUCAGCAACGCUGCGGUGAAUACGUUCCCGGG